RNAcentral lists this ribosomal RNA (254 nucleotides) under uncultured bacterium. Its description in RNAcentral is "partial 16S ribosomal RNA". It matches the Rfam family "Bacterial small subunit ribosomal RNA", at positions 524 to 776 of the family's 1533-position model. The record is from RNAcentral.
CACGUAGGCACCAAGCGUUGUCCGGAUUUAUUGGGCGUAAAGAGUUCGUAGGCGGUUCAGUAAGUCGGGUGUGAAAACUCUGGGCUCAACCCAGAGACGCCACCCGAUACUGCUGUGACUUGAGUACGGUAGGGGAGUGGGGAAUUCCUGGUGUAGCGGUGAAAUGCGCAGAUAUCAGGAGGAACACCAGUGGCGAAGGCGCCACUCUGGGCCGUAACUGACGCUGAGGAGCGAAAGCGUGGGUAGCAAACAGG